RNAcentral lists this ribosomal RNA (406 nucleotides) under uncultured bacterium. RNAcentral describes it as "partial 16S ribosomal RNA". It matches the Rfam family "Bacterial small subunit ribosomal RNA", at positions 30 to 526 of the family's 1533-position model. The record is from RNAcentral.
AUUGAACGCUGGCGGCAGGCCUAACACAUGCAAGUCGAACGAGUGGCGGACGGGUGAGUAAUGUCUGGGAAACUGCCUGAUGGAGGGGGAUAACUACUGGAAACGGUAGCUAAUACCGCAUACUCUCAGAGCUGCCCAGAUGGGAUUAGUUAGUUGGUGGGGUAACGGCUGACCAAGGCGACGAUCCCUAGCUGGUCUGAGAGGAUGACCAGCCACACUGGAACUGAGACACGGUCCAGACUCCUACGGAAGGCAGCAAGGAGGAAGAUUGCACAAUGGGCGCAAGCCUGUUGCAGCCAGGCCGCGUGUAUGAAGAAGGCCUUCGGGUUGUAAAGUACUUUCAGCUGGGAGGCGUUACCCGCAGAAGAAGCACCGGCUAACUCCGUGCCAGCAGCCGCGGUAAUAC